GUGCUCACUUCAGCAACACAUUUGCUAAAAUUGGAAUGAUACAGAGGUUAGCAUGGUCACUGCAUAAGGACAGUGUGCAAACUCAUGAAGUAUUCCAUAUUUUA
Ochotona princeps (American pika) is the source of this 104-nucleotide small nuclear RNA. The record is from RefSeq and is a predicted model, not a curated record. Lineage: Eukaryota; Metazoa; Chordata; Mammalia; Lagomorpha; Ochotonidae.